Helianthus annuus (common sunflower) is the source of this 2349-nucleotide long non-coding RNA. RefSeq lists it as uncharacterized. The record is from RefSeq and is a predicted model, not a curated record. The transcript is spliced from 9 exons. Lineage: Eukaryota; Viridiplantae; Streptophyta; Magnoliopsida; Asterales; Asteraceae.
UAUACAUCGAUUGGAGAAGCUUCUCACAUACGCUUCUUUUAUACUCUCUCUCUCUCAUUCUCUCAUAAUCGAUUAAACCAUUACUCUGAAACCCUAAGUGGCGAUUCCGCUCCUAACCGUUUCAAUCGAUCAUGUGCGAAUAGGUACAAUCAAUCUUGAAUAAUCAAUAGUGAUCAUCGACGGUAUUGAAUCUGAUAUCUUCUUCUUUUAUGAUUGAUUGAAUGAAACAUCGAUGGUUUUGUUAUGUAUUGAUUGAGUGAAUGAAUGUUAUUUGAAUAUCAAUUUUAGAUUCUUUGUUUGUUAUUGUUUUUUGACACACGAUUUCGUUUUGUUAGGGUUUUAAAAGCUGAUAUCAUGUUGUUUGUUUAUAUGAUUUUGAUUUUCACCUUCAGAUGAUGAAUAGAAAAGGGGUUGAAGGAUGGUAGAUAUUCAUCUGCAACCUCCCUUGCAGCCAUGGUGCUUUCAUUUUUGUGUAAACUCUGAGCCAGACUGUAGCAUCUUUCCGACGAUCGAAGGGAAUUCCGAUAGCCUUAGGGUGAUAAGUACGGAGCUACCGUUGAUUACCAACCUGCUUUUAACAGGGUAAUGUUAUUCACCCAACUGACCCGUUUAACAAUCUUUGAAUAACUGCUGAUCCGAUUAGCUCUUUUGGCUGCAUUUCUGAUAUAUCAAACAUUCAAACUGCUGUUUUGGAUUUGCUGCAUUUUCAUCUCCAUAAGAAACUUCUCAAGCUGUAAUAAACAUGUUUAACUUCAUUUAUGAUAUUGUAAUAUGGAUUUAACGCAUUUUCUUUACUAGGAAGAUGAUUGUUAGCAAAUCGUUGUAUGGGAAGAUGAUUGUGAGCAUUACUUUUCGUUCAGGUUUUAUGGUUUCUUAAUCUUUAAAAGUUUGAACAAUUCUUCCUUCACACACUCCCUUUAUGCAUAUAAAUUCAAAUUCUACAAUGAAAUCAUGAUGUAGAGUACAAACAUGUAGAAUUGGGGAUAGAGGUUCACCCUGAAUGUAAAUUAGAAUCACAGCAAACGACUGAAUUUGAUUAAGUCGUAAUCACGAGAAGUGUUCAAAAGAAACUAUUUAAGGUCAAAAAAACAUGGUUUACUGUGGGUAUUAUCACUUUGCUCAUAAUCAACUCCACCAUUAGUUUCAUUGAAGAAAACAAUGCUGGUAAUGCAGCAGCUGCUCUCAUGGCUAGACUGGCCCCAAGUUGGUUAUUUUCAGAAAGUUUUGACUGCGAUCGGGAAUUUAUGUAUUUGUUCUAUCACUGUUGGAAUGGUGAUCGAGAUAAUCGUAAUGUUCCGGAUUCAAGAUAGGCAGUAUCGGCCCGGUUUCUUGACUUACAUCAUCUUUCUUUUAUUAAUUUUAUUAUAUUUUUGUAUCAUUUUUGACAAUUUAUAUGAUUUAUACAGGGAGCGAUUACGAAAAGAAUGACAGGCGUAGAAGAAAUGGCAGGAAUGGACAUUAUUUGCAGUUCCAAAACCGGAACGUUGACUUUGAACAAGCUUACAGUUGACAAGAAUCUUAUCGAAGUAUUUGCCAAAGGAGUAGAUGCCGACACUGUCGUUUGUGAUGGCGGCCCGAGCCACUAGAACCAAAAAAAAAGAUGCCAUUGAUGCUGCAAUAGUCGGAUUGGCUUGGUCAAUCUGAAUAUAUAUUCAGCAUAAGCUGUUAACUGGUCAUCUUUAUCCAUAACAGUUUCACAGCUCUAACUCAUUUUCUCGGAUCAGCGAUACAUAAAUUUAAAUGUUGCUCAACACCCCAACCAACAUUCAAACAGUUCCAUCAUUCAAAAUUCAUUGUACAUCCUAGAGAAAGUGCGUCCGAUGAGAGAAAUGCCAGUCAGCCAACACUCGAAUCUUCUCUACAUGAGGGUUUUUUUCAAAUAGUUAAAUUCCUUAACUAACAUAAAUGUGAUUGUGAUAUGAAGUUCUUACUUUAGCAGACAAACUCGACCUAGUUACGCUUAAAAACAGUGUGUGAAGUUCGAAUCUUUGACUCGACUUACAAGUACUUUGAGGUUAUCUUUGUUGACCCUGCACAUGCGGCUAUCCGUAACGACCCACAGAUCAACUGGAUCUGUAACCCGGUGCACAAACACAGAGAGUUUCGCGGACUAACAUCUGCUGGAAAGAAAUACAGAGGUCUGCGUGGAAAGGGACACUUGAACUACAAGGCUCGCCCUUCAAGAAGGGCUACAUGGAAAAGGAACAACACUCUUUCUUGAGCCGUUAUCGUUGAAGGGUUUAUUAUAUGCAAGUUUGUUAUGGUGGUUACACCUUUUGUAGGGAUGUUUUUUUGGGCUGGAGACUUGCAGUUUUUUUAUUAAAUUUUGUUCGAAACUUUGUUUUGUUU